RNAcentral lists this non-coding RNA (31 nucleotides) under Rattus norvegicus (Norway rat). The record is from RNAcentral. Lineage: Eukaryota; Metazoa; Chordata; Mammalia; Rodentia; Muridae.
UGGGAUUACCCAAUCAGAGCCUGUGAAGACU